GAAUUGGANAUGGGCGAAGCCUGAUCCAGCCAUGCCGCGUGUGUGAAGAAGGUCUUCGGAUUGUAAAGCACUUUAAGUUGGGAGGAAGGGCAGUAAGUUAAUACCUUGCUGUUUUGACGUUACCAACAGAAUAAGCACCGGCUAACUUCGUGCCAGCAGCCGCGGUAAUACGAAGGGUGCAAGCGUUAAUCGGAAUUACUGGGCGUAAAGCGCGCGUAGGUGGUUCAGCAAGUUGGAGGUGAAAUCCCCGGGCUCAACCUGGGAACUGCCUCCAAAACUGCUGAGCUAGAGUACGGUAGAGGGUAGUGGAAUUUCCUGUGUAGCGGGGAAAUGCGUAGAUAUA
RNAcentral lists this ribosomal RNA (343 nucleotides) under uncultured bacterium. RNAcentral's name for it is "bacterial SSU rRNA". It matches the Rfam family "Bacterial small subunit ribosomal RNA", at positions 359 to 698 of the family's 1533-position model. The record is from RNAcentral.